Molecule: ribosomal RNA, 484 nt
Filed under: uncultured bacterium
Lineage: Bacteria
Description: partial 16S ribosomal RNA
Rfam family: Bacterial small subunit ribosomal RNA
Source: RNAcentral
AUUGAACGCUGGCGGCAGGCCUAACACAUGCAAGUCGAGCGGAUGAAGGGAGCUUGCUCCUGGAUUCAGCGGCGGACGGGUGAGUAAUGCCUAGGAAUCUGCCUGGUAGCGGGGGAUAACGUCCGGAAACGGGCGCUAAUACCGCAUACGUCCUGAGGGAGAAAGUGGGGGAUCUUCGGACCUCACGCUAUCAGAUGAGCCUAGGUCGGAUUAGCUAGUUGGUGGGGUAAAGGCCUACCAAGGCGACGAUCCGUAACUGGUCUGAGAGGAUGAUCAGUCACACUGGAACUGAGACACGGUCCAGACUCCUACGGGAGGCAGCAGUAGGGAAUAUUGGACAAUGGGCGAAAGCCUGAUCCAGCCAUGCCGCGUGUGUGAAGAAGGUCUUCGGAUUGUAAAACCCUUUUAGUUGGGAGGAAGGGCAGUAAGUUAAUACCUUGCUGUUUUGACGUUACCAACAGAAUAAGCACCGGCUAACUUCGUG